This 253-nucleotide ribosomal RNA is filed under the name uncultured bacterium. RNAcentral's name for it is "partial 16S ribosomal RNA". It matches the Rfam family "Bacterial small subunit ribosomal RNA", at positions 524 to 776 of the family's 1533-position model. The record is from RNAcentral.
GACGGGGGAUGCAAGCGUUAUCCGGAAUCACUGGGCGUAAAGCGUCUGUAGGUGGUGAUGCAAGUCACUGGUGCAAAACUCUGGCUCAACCGGAGGAAAGCCAGUGAAACUGCAUGACUAGAGUGUGGGAGAGGUAGAAGGAAUUCCCUGAGUAGCGGUGAAAUGCGUAGAUACAGGGAAGAACACCGGAGGCGAAAGCGUUCUACUGGAACACAACUGUCACUAAGAGACGACAGCUAGGGGAGCGAAUGGG